GGGUCCUAGGAAAAAUGAGGAGGCAGAAGACACCAGAAGAAAUAGGGAGCUAGGGACAGAGCUCAUGGGGAGCCAGGUUCUUUCCUCUUCCAGAUUUUGAAAAGCCAGAUAGGCAGGGCUUAUUUGAAACACACAAAAAUUAUUUUUAAAAUUUUGUUCAAGCAAUUAUUUUUAAAUACCUAUCAAUUAGCACCACAUUUAGAAGUAACUGAGUUUGAAAAUCUUCCAACAAAUAGUUGUUGGUAAUGAGGAAAAUGAUCAGGAUACAAACAGUGCCCAAUGCACAGAUGUUUGGGGUGAAUCAAGUCAAUUGUCCUGUUCCCAUCUGAGGAAACAAUUAAACGUUGAGUUUCCGUGCCCCUGCCGGAGGUUGCGGUUCCAAAGACACAGGACAGGUCAUGGGAAGUGGUGUCCAGAGCGGCCCAGUGACCUGAGUAAACACAGGGAGCGCUGCCAGUCUCUCCGAUUUCAUCAGGCAGUGGGCCCUCCGGCCUGGCUUAUAGAACGGUAGUUUUGUAACUAAGGUCUAACUGGAACCGUCGUGUCCCUGUCCCCGUGUUUCUCGCUCAGCCCUUAGACCUUCACUGCCCUCUCUCAAAACUCCCCUCGGACAUCCACAACCGCGCACGCUCUCCCUGCAGAGGAAACCGCCACCCCGCAAGGCCUGUGGUGGGCGCAGCGUGCCGGGGCGUCAACUCCCGGCGCUCGGCCCUGUUACACUUGGAUUUCGAAGCCCUCACCGCUUCCGCCUUCAGAGUGCUUGCCCUUCGUCCUCAGCCCUCGUGCCUGUCUGUCUCCCGCUGUCUCUACCUUUCCCUCCGUCUCUCUCCCUCCAAAAGGCGAUCUCAGCUGAAUUUAUCCAGGCUCUGUGCUUUCCCACCUAGAGGGGAACGCAGAGGCGACAUCUUCGGCCCCCAGGCUCGGAAGCGAACAAAGGAAACCCAGCCGGCCCCGGCGCUCAGGUUUCCCCCAAACUCCUGGGCUUCCUGGAGUGCUCUCCCGCCGCCGCCGCCGCCGCCGCCGCCGCCGCCUCCCGCGCGCUCUUUCGAACCUCGUUCGCAAACUGCAGCAAAUGGAAGGAGCCCGGCCAGGUGGCAGGGGUGUUGGUGCAAGGAGGGCGGAGGCAGAGACAGGUUUGUAAAAGACUGUCUUCUGAGCUCCGGAGAUAAUGUCUGCGACUGGAGACCCCCUCCUCGUCCCGGCGGCGGCGCGGACUGUCAGCCAGACGGCGCCGCGGCGCCGGGCCAUGCGCGAGGGAGCCCGGCGAGGAGCAAUCCUUUCUGGGCUUGGGGCGCCGGGCAGUAAAUGCAGCGCCAGCUCGCCCAAAGCUCUCUUUGCGGAUUUCUUUUGAAAGACUCCUCCCUUUGUACACCUCGUGCGGAAUGCAGCGGCGACCUCUCGCCCAAAAGACUACCAGGAGAGAGCAAAUGAAGUCUUAAGUACCUGCAGUGUCCUGCCAGAAGGAAUGUCUCUCCUUGGAACAGUCCUUAUUGACAUGGCAGCUGUGUGAGGACCGGAACGGAGGCUUAAACUCCGCUCUAAAAAUCAGUUAAUACCCUAAAGUCUGGAGCAAGUGCGCAGAAUUAUACUGGGGGAGAGGAGAGUCUGCAAGUACAGCCACAUUUCUUAAAAGACAAACGACCUUCCUGCCCACUUUUUUUCAUCUCUCUUCAAAAGGACCCAGGACAUACUAGAUGUUGGCGACAACUGGAUAGGCGAUAGUGUGGAUGCCGUGAUUGCGGGCACCGGGGUUGAUGAAAUGUGGUGUUAGUUCUCGGAGGCUGGGCCGGGCCCCGCCAGCCUUUUCCCUUGCGUUAAAUCCAAUGAAUCGCGUAACUAGACAAGAAAACGGCUAUACGUUUUGUACCAACGAGCCUACCUGCUAUUUCGAUCCCUUGGUCAGGGGAACCUAUUGUUAUAAAUGUUAAUUAUUGGCUCGGAUUUACAAGAUUUCCCAAAAUGGAACCUUUCACUGAAAACCACUAAAAAGAGGUAAAAUGACAUGAAUUUACAAACCACAUAAACCAAAUGAUCCAUUUUAAAUCGCACACAGAAACGUUUGAGUUGUUCCAGUAAUUUAAAACCUUUGCUGUCAAUGCAAAUCACACGAAAAACAUAGAUGCGUCGGAGAUUUAAAGGGAAAGAGCAACUAUAACUGCUUCCCCCUGGGCUUCGCAGCUCUAGAUAGAGGGCAACGCAGCCGGCGAGCGGCGCCCGACGCCAGGUUUCGGCUCUUCUAUGCCUCCUCUGUGCAGGUAACAGUCGCGUGCACACAACCGGUCUUUGGAAAGGCCAAAGCAUUGGUUGCUGCUGGGGUUUCUCAGCUGGGUGGGCAUAGGGCCUCGGUCCUUUUAAAAACCCCUGUCUGGGACCCACUUGUUUCCCUUCUGCCUUGGGAGUGAGAUGCUUUGGGGCUCUCUGCCCGCUUUCUUGGAAUUUCUUUGCAGUCAACAACUACAGCCGGCUUCUACUCUACCUACAGAUAUUUGGAGACGAAGGGCAUUAGGAGGUAUUUCUUCAAAAAAUUAGCGUUGUCGCUCUGGGGCAGUGCGAAGACUUCCUAAAUCCUUCCUGAAGUAACAAUAUUCAUCUUUUUUUCCUCUGCUUGGUCGGAAACUCCGGGUGCCCUCGACCCUUGGGAUCCAGGCUCCGACGGCCGGCGCCGCCCGGGAGCAGCCGUCCACCUGCCUCCUGAGGACGCCGCUCCCCGUGAGUGGGAAUCUGCAAUGUGACACCGGAUCCGCGCGGCCCCCGCCUCUCUUCCUCCCUCCCUUCCAGCCUCUCUCGGCCAGGCCGAGGGGAGCCCGCCACCCUCCUCGGCUUAUUUCUGAACAAUGAAGAUUUGUCUGUUCUAAUAUAUUUAUGUAUGGAGGGAGGGAAGGACGGGGUUUUCUCCUGCAAGCGGGAGGCGCGCGAGCAGCCCCUCGCUUCCUUGGUGCGAAAACCCAGCACCAGCCGGAGACUCCGGGACACCGCGGUCUCCCCCCCAACGCCCCCCUCCCACACCUGGACAAACAGCGGGCUGCGGGCCCCGCUUGCGCUAAAACCCCCGCCGCCCGGCGCAGCUCCUGAAAAUAGUCUCACAUUGUCCCGGGGUCAAGGAAGAGGACUGACACCGCUACGAGGGAACUAGUGGUGGAAGAAGACAGAGCCGGGGUGGGGUGUGUUUGGAGGGGUUAUCCUCUUCCUCUGUGUGUGUCCCCACAUCUGGUCCCUCUCUCUGAAUGUGCGUCUCUAUCUGAUUCUCUCUUUUCAAUCUGAAAGAGGGAGCCUGUUCAUUCUGCGUGUGAACCUGUUUCUCAUUCUUCAAUUCUCUUUCAUUCUGUCUUAUCUCUAUAUCACCCUCUCUCCCUUUCUCUCGUUCAUUCUUCUCAUUGUUUCUCCUCCCUCUGCCUCUCUGCCUCUCUGCUUCUGCACACUCCCUCUCUUAUCUGGAUCUCUUUAUUUCUCUCUCGUUCCCCUGUCUACCGCACUGCUAUGGGGGGCCUACGCCUCUUUCUGCCCAGAAUCAGGCGCUGUGAGGUUCUAAGGACAGAGUAUGUUUAUGUUGCCCACCCAGGCAGUGCGGAGCAAGUAGACUCUCAAGUCCUGGCAGGGGCGUAGGGUUCAGCCGGUGGAGCCCCACCACGCUGAAUGGUGGCGUGGUCAGAAGGUGGGAGAGCCCCGGGUAUGGCGCAGGAAGGUGGGUUAGCUGCCUGAGGGGAAAAGGGCCAACUUAGGUGGUGCUUUGAGAAGGCUCUAGCUCAGGGACUCGUCAACCGCCAGAUAAUGAGCCUGAAGACGCCACUCAACAUCAGAUGCCAAACACCUUUCUGCAAAGUGGAAGAGAGUGUUGUAAGAAUCCGUUCUUAAGAACUUAAGACAUUCUUGUUCCCUUCUCUUAAAAAGAUUGCCUUAGGGCAAGUUUUUUUGUUUCUUUUUUUUUUUUUUAAGAUACUCGCCAAGAGCUCUUAUCUUCCAUUGAAUUUUCAAUCAAC
This is a long non-coding RNA of Manis pentadactyla (Chinese pangolin), 3977 nucleotides long. RefSeq lists it as uncharacterized. The transcript has 4 exons. NCBI's taxonomy places the organism in Eukaryota, Metazoa, Chordata, Mammalia, Pholidota, Manidae. The record is from RefSeq and is a predicted model, not a curated record.